AGUUAAUGAUCUUGACUA
This 18-nucleotide transfer RNA is filed under the name Formica manchu. RNAcentral's name for it is "partial tRNA-Ser". The record is from RNAcentral. Lineage: Eukaryota; Metazoa; Arthropoda; Insecta; Hymenoptera; Formicidae.